AACGAACGCUGGCGGCAUGCCUAACACAUGCAAGUCGAACGAAGCCUUCGUGCUUAUUUGCGCACGUGUGCUUACCACGUGGUAAUUUACCCCUUGCUUCCGUAUCCCAGAUAUAAAUGUCUGCUCAUACCGGUUGAACUCUUCCGACCUAAGAUUUCUCGGUAAGGGAUGAGCCCGCGUAGGAUUAGGUAGUUGGUGGGGUACUGGCCUACCAAGCCGACGAUCCUUAGCUGGUCGGAGAGGAUGAUCAGCCACAAUGGGCAUGAGACACGGACCAGACUGCGACGGGAGGGAGCAGAGGGGAAUAUUGGAGGAUGGACGCAAGUCUGAUCAAGCAAUGCCGCGUGAGAGAGGAAGGCGUUAGGGUUGUAAAGCUCUUUUAGAAGGAAUGAGAAUGACAGUACCUGGAGAAUAAGCACCGGCUAACUACGUG
RNAcentral lists this ribosomal RNA (433 nucleotides) under uncultured bacterium. RNAcentral describes it as "partial 16S ribosomal RNA". It matches the Rfam family "Bacterial small subunit ribosomal RNA", at positions 29 to 507 of the family's 1533-position model. The record is from RNAcentral.